Triticum aestivum (bread wheat) is the source of this 752-nucleotide long non-coding RNA. RefSeq lists it as uncharacterized. The record is from RefSeq and is a predicted model, not a curated record. The transcript is spliced from 3 exons. Lineage: Eukaryota; Viridiplantae; Streptophyta; Magnoliopsida; Poales; Poaceae.
CGGCCGGAGCGCAUACCUCUCCUUAUAUAUAUCUUCUUCCUAUCAUCUAGCAAGGGGACUCUAUUUACCUCACGCAUAACUCCUGUCAAAAGUCCAGAUCCUUCUUAUGAUUGACCUGCUAUUCUUUGGACUACUAGAUUAGCAUCUGCCGCUGAAGCACAGAUCUUGUGUUGGAAGGUGUAGGUACAACCUGGCAAAACAACCAUAUUUUAGUUUCGGACGUAUACCUGCUCUCUCUUUAGGUACUAUACCUACUGUCUUUUUUCUUCUUAUACAUAUACCAGCAUCACAGAUUGGAUGAAUAAUACGCUUCGCCAGUUUUCCUCUCGUUCCUGGCGGCUGCAACCCUAGCCACUGCCAGGGCCGAUCUUCCAACGCCGUUCUCCGGCGGCUCCCCUCCGCCGGCGACCUCGGUCGUCGGCGGUGAGGGGGGCCGCUGGAUCCACGCGUGUGGAUCAAUUUUACUCCCUCAUAGUUUGGGUUUUUAGGUUGUUCAUCGUCUUUACUUCGGUGGCGACGAUGGCGGCGCUGAAUAAAGAAUCUUCGGAUCUUCCCUGACGAGGCCAUCGGUCCUAUGGUUGGGGAAGGAUUUGCAAACCAGUCUGUUCAAGCAAGGAUGGUGUGGCGGUGGCGGCAUCCUCAUGGUGGACCUGUGUUCUCGUGCUCCGCCGUUGUGACGACGUUUGCUCCAGCGUCGACGUGGAACUUGGGAGGUAGUCCAGGAGCAGAUGCAGAUUGUGGUUUGCAUCGAC